This 224-nucleotide unclassified non-coding RNA is filed under the name uncultured Crepidotus. Its description in RNAcentral is "sequence contains ITS2". The record is from RNAcentral. Lineage: Eukaryota; Fungi; Basidiomycota; Agaricomycetes; Agaricales; Crepidotaceae.
AAUUCUCAACCUUACCGACUUUAUUGUUGGUCUGGCUUGGAUGUGGGGGUUUUUGCAGGCUUUUACAAGUCAGCUCCCCUGAAAUAUAUUAGCGGUACCCUUGUGGUAAACGGCUAUUGGUGUGAUAAUUAUCUACGCCAUCUCAGCCGCCCACAUCUUUUUAAUUAAAGGAAAGGGUUAUGCUGCUUCAAAUCGUCCAUUGACUUGGACAAAGUAAAUGACAA